Molecule: non-coding RNA, 48 nt
Filed under: Schistosoma mansoni
Lineage: Eukaryota; Metazoa; Platyhelminthes; Trematoda; Strigeidida; Schistosomatidae
Source: RNAcentral
AUUCAGCUGAUGAGUCUCAAAUGGGAUGAAACACGAGUCGAACUGGAU